Molecule: ribosomal RNA, 425 nt
Filed under: uncultured bacterium
Lineage: Bacteria
Description: partial 16S ribosomal RNA
Rfam family: Bacterial small subunit ribosomal RNA
Source: RNAcentral
GUUAGGAAUAUUGGACAAUGGGCGCAAGCCUGAUCCAGCCAUGCCGCGUGAGUGAUGAAGGCCUUCGGGUUGUAAAGCUCUUUAGCCGAUGAUUAUAAUGACUGUAGUCGGAAAAUAAGCCCCGGCUAACUUCGUGCCAGCAGCCGCGGUAAUACGAAGGGGGCGAGCGUUAUUCGGAAUCACUGGGCGUAAAGCGUGCGUAGGCGGCUUUGCAAGUUGGGAGUGAAAGCCCAGGGCUCAACCCUGGAAUUGCUCUCAAAACUGCAAGGCUCGAAUUCGGGAGAGGAUAGCGGAAUUGUCAGUGAAGCAGUGAAAUGCGUAGAAAUUGACAGGAACACCAGUGGCGUAAGCGGCUAUCUGGACCGAUAUUGACGCUGAGGCACGAAAGCGUGGGGAUCAAACAGGAUUAGAAACCCUGGUAGUCC